Molecule: ribosomal RNA, 251 nt
Filed under: Clostridium perfringens
Lineage: Bacteria; Bacillati; Bacillota; Clostridia; Eubacteriales; Clostridiaceae
Description: partial 23S ribosomal RNA
Rfam family: Bacterial large subunit ribosomal RNA
Source: RNAcentral
CCAAGAAAAGCGUCUAGAGAGAGAAGUAGUGCCCGUACCGCAAACCGACACAGGUAGGUGAGGAGAGAAUCCUAAGGCCGGCGGAAGAAUUACAGUUAAGGAACUCGGCAAAUUGACCCCGUAAGUUCGCGAGAAGGGGUGCCUACGAGAGUAGGCCGCAGAGAAUAGGCCCAAGCAACUGUUUAGCAAAAACACAGGUCUCUGCUAAAGCGUAAGCUGAUGUAUAGGGGCUGACGCCUGCCCGGUGCUGG